Molecule: long non-coding RNA, 226 nt
Filed under: Carica papaya (papaya)
Lineage: Eukaryota; Viridiplantae; Streptophyta; Magnoliopsida; Brassicales; Caricaceae
Description: long non-coding RNA (CPAP_LNC004330)
Source: RNAcentral
CCAGUGAGUAACGUGACAUUCUUACUGGGCUAGUGUAGCUCACUCUUUCAUUAACCAUUUUAGAUAAAAAAGACCAAGAUUUAGAUCCUGAUCCAUAAGAGGGUUGCGAAUAGGAUGUCCAAUUGUUUACUUUUUUAUUUAUUUCUUUGAUUUUUUAUUUGUUCUUUUAAAAGGGUCAUUCCCGUAACCCUAUUGGGUAUUCUGGAUUAUUGAAUAAGGAAUAUAA